GUGGUUUAAUUCGAUGCAACGCGAAAACCUUACCCACCUUUGACAUGUACGGAACCCUUUAGAGAUAGAGGGGUGCUCGAAAGAGAGCCGUAACACAGGUGCUGCAUGGCUGUCGUCAGCUCGUGUCGUGAGAUGUUGGGUUAAGUCCCGCAACGAGCGCAACCCUUGUCAUUAGUUGCUACAUUCAGUUGGGCACUCUAAUGAGACUGCCGGUGACAAGCCGGAGGAAGGUGGGGAUGACGUCAAGUCCUCAUGGCCCUUAUAGGUGGGGCUACACACGUCAUACAAUGGCUGGUACAAAGGGUUGCCAACCCGCGAGGGGGAGCCAAUCCCAUAAAGCCAGUCGUAGUCCGGAUCGUAGUCUGCAACUCGACUACGUGAAGUCGGAAUCGCUAGUAAUCGUAGAUCAGAAUGCUACGGUGAAUACGUUCCCGGGCCUU
This 440-nucleotide ribosomal RNA is filed under the name uncultured Rhodoferax sp. RNAcentral describes it as "bacterial SSU rRNA". It matches the Rfam family "Bacterial small subunit ribosomal RNA", at positions 941 to 1382 of the family's 1533-position model. The record is from RNAcentral. Lineage: Bacteria; Pseudomonadati; Pseudomonadota; Betaproteobacteria; Burkholderiales; Comamonadaceae.